UAGUGUUCAUCAUGGCAAGCAGAUGGCACCAGGAGAAAUGGACCCCCUGCCAGUGAGUCCUAGCAGUGCAGGAGGGCAGACCCUGGAGGAGACAGCGACCUAAGUUGAUGCCUAUCCAGUGAAUUCCAGAGGCUUAGGAAGUUCUGCA
Peromyscus maniculatus bairdii (prairie deer mouse) is the source of this 148-nucleotide unclassified non-coding RNA. Lineage: Eukaryota; Metazoa; Chordata; Mammalia; Rodentia; Cricetidae. The record is from Ensembl.